RNAcentral lists this long non-coding RNA (675 nucleotides) under Homo sapiens (human). RNAcentral describes it as "non-protein coding lnc-TBX20-3:4". The record is from RNAcentral. Lineage: Eukaryota; Metazoa; Chordata; Mammalia; Primates; Hominidae.
GUUUUAUUCUAGAAAACAGCUCCUUGAACACAGUGAGCUGGCUUUUCACACAUUGCAGUUGUUAGCGUUUACUGCCCUUGCCAUUUUAAUUAUGAGGCUAAAGAUGUUUUUGACGCUGCACAUGUGUGUUAUGGCUUCCUUGAUAUGCUCUCGACAGCUCUUUGGCUGGCUUUUUCGCAGAGUUCGUUUUGAUAAUGUUAUCUUUGGCAUUCUAACAGUGAUGUCAAUACAAGGUUAUGCAAACCUCCGUAAUCAAUGGAGCAUAAUAGGAGAAUUUAAUAAUUUGCCUCAGGAAGAACUUUUACAGUGGAUCAAAUACAAUACCACAUCAGAUGCUGUCUUCGCAGGUGCCAUGCCUACAAUGGCAAGCGUCAAGCUGUCUACACUUCAUCCCAUUGUGAAUCAUCCACUUUACGAAGAUGCAGACUUGAGGCCUGGUUGCAGUAUGCUUGAAAUCUGUGAUGUGGAAGACCCUUCCAAUGCAGCUAACCCUCCCUUAUGUAGCGUCCUGCUCAAAGAUGCCAGGCCUUACUUCACCACAGUAUUUCAGAAUAGUGUGUACAGAGUAUUGAGGGUUAACUGAGAAGGAAACUACCCAUUACACUAUGGCACAAUGUGGUGUGUCAAAAACAAUCACCCUUUGGCUUAUUUACAUUAAUAAAAAUCACAAGCUUU